CCUACGGGAGGCAGCAGUGAGGAAUAUUGGUCAAUGGACGAGAGUCUGAACCAGCCAAGUAGCGUGAAGGAUGACUGCCCUAUGGGUUGUAAGCUUCUUUUAUAAAGGAAUAAAACGAGGCAAGUGUGCCUUUUUGCAUGUACUUUAUGAAUAAGGAUCGGCUAACUCCGUGCCAGCAGCCGCGGUAAUACGGAGGAUCCGAGCGUUAUCCGGAUUGAUUGGGGUUAAAGGGAGCGUAGAUGGGUUGGUAAGUCAGUUGUGAAAGUUUGCGGCUCAACCGUAAAAUUGCAAUUGAUACUGUCAGUCUUGAGUACAGUUGAGGUAGGAGGAAUUCGUGGUGUAGCGGUGAAAUGCUUAGAUAUCACGAAGAACCCCGAUUGCGAAGGCAGCUUACUAAACUGUGACUGACAUUGAUGCUCGAAAGUGUGGGUAGCAAACAGGAUUAGAUACCCGUGUAGUC
RNAcentral lists this ribosomal RNA (460 nucleotides) under uncultured bacterium. RNAcentral's name for it is "partial 16S ribosomal RNA". It matches the Rfam family "Bacterial small subunit ribosomal RNA", at positions 338 to 795 of the family's 1533-position model. The record is from RNAcentral.